This 253-nucleotide ribosomal RNA is filed under the name uncultured bacterium. RNAcentral describes it as "partial 16S ribosomal RNA". It matches the Rfam family "Bacterial small subunit ribosomal RNA", at positions 524 to 776 of the family's 1533-position model. The record is from RNAcentral.
UACGUAGGUGGCAAGCGUUGUCCGGAUUUACUGGGCGUAAAGAGCGCGCAGGCGGUCGUUCAAGUCGCGUGUGAAAGCCCCCGGCUCAACUGGGGAGGGUCACGCGAUACUGAUCGACUCGAAGGCAGGAGAGGGAAGUGGAAUUCCCGGUGUAGUGGUGAAAUGCGUAGAUAUCGGGAGGAACACCAGUGGCGAAGGCGACUUCCUGGCCUGUUCUUGACGCUGAGGCGCGAAAGCCAGGGGAGCGAUCCGG